Long non-coding RNA from Mytilus trossulus (common blue mussel), 2256 nucleotides. RefSeq lists it as uncharacterized. The record is from RefSeq and is a predicted model, not a curated record. The transcript has 3 exons. NCBI's taxonomy places the organism in Eukaryota, Metazoa, Mollusca, Bivalvia, Mytilida, Mytilidae.
UUUUUUGUGUGCUGGUGGUGUUGCCACAGGUUUGUGUAUGCGUCUAGUGUGGUUGGGAGUCAAAGACUCUUAAACUGCCGCUGGAUAGCUUAUAUUCAUAGGUGAAAAGAAAGCUGAGUGCGUAAGUCUUUCCUUCCAGUACAUAGCCUCUACACAAACAAGACUUCUACAGUGCCUCCCCGUGACAGCACAUGGUAACUAGGAUCUAGUGUCCUAGGCUUGACUGUAGAGGAUCUCGGAGUAGCAAGGACCCUAGAGAUGAAGUGUGUAGGCCGAUCGACAUGCGGACAUCACUAGCACUCAUCAACCUUGCCCCAGUUAUGGGUUAAAUAGCUGACUGAAUGAUGGUCGUCAUGCAGCCGUGAAAGAAGGAGAAGAAAACUCUUGAUAUAAAAUUUUUGGUAAUGUGUAUUUGACUCAUCAGCAAUUGAUCUAAAGGAAAUAAAGCUUGAGUAAAGAUUCUCUGGUUCUCCAGGUUUGGGAUUGAGAGUUAUGCCAAGAUCCUGUCCAUGUAAAGAAUGAUUAUAUACUGAUUGAUCUCCCAGAUGAGAAACAUCACUUCCAGAUCUGCAUCUUUGACAUUCAAAAGACAAGUUAUUCAGCAUAUUUUGAAAAGAGAGUAGGACCUGAAUGUAAAAUAAUACCAACUUUAAGACCAAGCGUGCUAGUUAAUUUAGAAAUCAACUGAAGCAGAAGAAUGAAUUGUGUUGAUCUGAGGAACUUCGAAACACUUAUUGACCAAAAACAAUAUGUAGUAAAGUAAUACAAUUAUGUUAUAAGAGAGAGAGAUAGAAAGAGGGGGAGAGCCAGUUGUAAAGAUUUAUUCUUUUAAACCAGAUACGUUGAUUACAAUCGAAUUUCAUAGGCCUACAGUUCCCCCCUAAAUGGUCUUAGUUAAUACAUGACGUACAUGUAUACUAGGUGUUUAAUGUAAGACUUUGAUGUGACUUGUAAGAACAAUCAGCUGCCAUUGGUUUAACUCUAUUUUUAUGCCCUUCAUUUGGGGGUGGGGUGGGGCACAUUGUUUUACUCCUGCCCUUACAAUCUUCCAUCCUAUUAUAGGUAUAUAGAUAUAAGAAGAUGUGAAAUUGGUGACAAUGAGACAACUCCCCCUCCAAUUCACAACUAUUCCAGAUAACUACUCCUAGAGUUUAAUGAGUUAUCUCCCAUAUUUGUAGGUACUUUUGAUAUUUUGAUAUUUCCUGAUAAGGCUAAUGCAAAUAGAAGAUUUAACUUGUUUUUAAAUUUAACAAACUGAGCAUAAGUUGUGAUGAAUGGAAACUAGCAGGCUGAGUUUUAGGGUUAAGGGGAGGGAAUACACUUGUUUAGCUAGUUUUGUUCACUGCAUGGAAGGCCUGCAAUAAAUUAGAAUGUAUUGGUUUUAUAUAUAAUUUUUAUAUAUAUUUUGUUAGAUAUGCUAUAUAAGAUGUAAAUAUAGUAAGAUGCCAGUAUUAUUAAGAGCUCUGUAAAUAUGAUCGGCUUGUAAACAUAGGUCUAGAUAAUGCAUUAAGUGGUUUGGUCUGACAUUUGGAUUUCAUAUUAUAUUUACGUCGUCAUCAUCUGCAAAAGUGCUCCCAUUCACAAUAUUAUCUGAUAUUAAACGCCCCUUCCUCCCAAUUAUGACUUCAUUUUUAGUUUAAUGAGUACUUUCUCAUAUUUGUAGGUACUUUUGGUAACUUACAGUUUGUCAUGAUAAUUAAGGCUAAUGAAAAUAGGAGACAACUCUUGGUUUUUUUUGUAGAAAAGAAGAUUUAACUUGUUUUUAAAUUUUAUGGUGAAUCCUGUGACUAAGUUAAUUUUUUCUUAUAUUUAAAAUAACCCUGUCCAUGAAAUUGAACAUUGCUCCUCUUGAUUUUAGUAAGUGAAUUCUUUUGUAAUAGUUUAAAAGAAAUGUCAAUAAGUAUUUCAUAAUGCAUUAGAAGGAAUGGUAUAUUUUAUAGAAUGCUAGUAUUGUUUUACUUGUAUGUUUAGAAGUCACAAAAAAUGAAAAAUGUAACAUAUUAUUUGUUUUACUAUUUACUAUUAUCAAGUAGAAUAACAUUUCCCUGUUUGCUAGUUCAUUACAAGUGUAAAGUUGAAAUUUCUGUAACAAUUAAAAAACCUAUGAUUCUUCCCUACAAUGUAUGAUUUGUUUUUAAAGCAGGGUGUAUUUUUUCAAUAUUGCCAUAUUCCUUUAUCUUAAGUAGCAGUAUUAUAUAAGGUGAUUGUUUAGUGACAUAAAUCAUUUCUCAUUUUAAUAAAUAACAUUUAUUUGAA